GACGAACGCUGGCGGCGUGCUUAACACAUGCAAGUCGAACGGAGCUAUUUAUUUCGGUAAAUCGCUUAGUGGCAAACGGGUGAGUAACGCGUAGGCAACCUGCCCUCAGGAUGGGGACAACGGCUCGAAAGAGCCGCUAAUACCGAAUGACGUAACUCUUCCACAUGGAAGAGAUACUAAAGAUGGGUCAAACCAUCGCCUAAGGAUGGGCCUGCGUCUGAUUAGCCAGUUGGUGAGGUAACGGCUCACCAAAGCGACGAUCAGUAGCCGGUCUGAGAGGAUGAACGGCCACAAUGGGACUGAGACACGGCCCAUACUCCUACGGGAGGCAGCAGUGGGGAAUCUUCCGCAAUGGGCGAAAGCCUGACGGAGCAACGCCGCGUGAGUGAAGAAGGUCUUCGGAUCGUAAAGCUCUGUUGUCGGGGACGAAAGGAAAGGGGAGGCAAUGCCCUUUUCAAGACGG
Molecule: ribosomal RNA, 463 nt
Filed under: Veillonellaceae bacterium oral taxon 155
Lineage: Bacteria; Bacillati; Bacillota; Negativicutes; Veillonellales; Veillonellaceae
Description: bacterial SSU rRNA
Rfam family: Bacterial small subunit ribosomal RNA
Source: RNAcentral